This 434-nucleotide ribosomal RNA is filed under the name uncultured bacterium. Its description in RNAcentral is "bacterial SSU rRNA". It matches the Rfam family "Bacterial small subunit ribosomal RNA", at positions 355 to 786 of the family's 1533-position model. The record is from RNAcentral.
UGAGGAAUAUUGGUCAAUGGACGAGAGUCUGAACCAGCCAAGUAGCGUGAAGGAUGACUGCCCUAUGGGUUGUAAACUUCUUUUAUACGGGAAUAAAGUUUGCCACGUGUGGCAUUUUGUAUGUACCGUAUGAAUAAGGAUCGGCUAACUCCGUGCCAGCAGCCGCGGUAAUACGGAGGAUCCGAGCGUUAUCCGGAUUUAUUGGGUUUAAAGGGAGCGUAGGCGGAAGCUUAAGUCAGUUGUGAAAGUUUGCGGCUUAACCGUAAAAUUGCAGUUGAUACUGGGUUUCUUGAGUGCAGCAGAGGUAGGCGGAAUUCGUGGUGUAGCGGUGAAAUGCUUAGAUAUCGUCAAGAACACCGAUAGUGUAGACAGCUUGCCAGGGAGCAACUGACGCUGAGGCACGAAAGUGUGGGGAUCAAACAGGAUUAGAUACC